AGAGUUUGAUCCUGGCUCAGGACAAACGCUGGCGGCGUGCUUAAUACAUGCAAGUCGAACGGUCUUACUUCGGUAAGAUAGUGGCGGACGGGUGAGUAACACGUAGAUGACCUGCCCUAUAGAGAGGAAUAACAGCCUGAAAGGGUUGCUAAUACCUCAUAAUCUCUCUGUUGUGGGAUAGAGAGGAAACGUACUUCGGUGCGGCUAUUGGAGGGGUCUGCGGCGGAUUAGCUAGAUGGUGGGGUAACGGCCUACCAUGGCUACGAUCCGUAGCUGGUCUGAGAGGACGGCCAGCCACACUGGGACUGAGACACGGCCCAGACUCCUACGGGAGGCAGCAGUGGGGAAUUUUCCGCAAUGGGCGAAAGCCUGACGGAGCAAUACCGCGUGAGGGAAGAAGGCUCUUGGGUCGUAAACCUCUUUUAUCAGGGAAGAAAAAAAUGACGGUACCUGAAGAAUCAGCCUCGGCUAACUCCGUGCCAGCAGCCGCGGUAAUACGGAGGAUGCAAGCGUUAUCCGGAAUGAUUGGGCGUAAAGCGUCCGCAGGUGGCAAUGUAAGUCUGCUGUCAAAGCGUCUGGCUCAACCAGAUAAAGGCAGUGGAAACUACAUAGCUAGAGUAAGGUAGGGGUAGAGGGAAUUCCUGGUGUAGCGGUGAAAUGCGUAGAGAUCAGGAAGAACACCGGUGGCGAAAGCGCUCUGCUGGACCUUAACUGACGCUGAGGCGCGAUAGCGUGGGGAGCAAACGGGAUUAGAUACCCCCGUAGUCC
Molecule: ribosomal RNA, 768 nt
Filed under: uncultured cyanobacterium
Lineage: Bacteria; Bacillati; Cyanobacteriota
Description: bacterial SSU rRNA
Rfam family: Bacterial small subunit ribosomal RNA
Source: RNAcentral